CACGUAGGGGGCGAGCGUUGUCCGGAAUCAUUGGGCGUAAAGAGCUCGUAGGCGGCUCUGUAAGUCGGGUGUGAAACCCUCAGGCUCAACCUGGGGACGCCACUCGAUACUGCUGUGGCUAGAGUCCAGUAGAGGAGUGUGGAAUUCCCGGUGUAGCGGUGAAAUGCGCAGAUAUCGGGAGGAACACCAACGGCGAAGGCAGCACUCUGGGCUGGAACUGACGCUGAGGAGCGAAAGCGUGGGGAGCGAACCGG
This 254-nucleotide ribosomal RNA is filed under the name uncultured bacterium. RNAcentral describes it as "partial 16S ribosomal RNA". It matches the Rfam family "Bacterial small subunit ribosomal RNA", at positions 524 to 776 of the family's 1533-position model. The record is from RNAcentral.